CGCUAAACCGGCUUCUCGGCGCCAUUUUGUCUGAGCGGCGGUGGUCGCAGCUCUAUCGCAUUUUACGUUUCUGGCGAGACGAGAGCCGACUGUGUAUCCUGUAGAUUCAUUUUAGUGCGGCACCUAUCCACGGUUCACUCCAGGACAGCACCUAGUGAAGGUCGGAGGAGUCGCGAACCUGUCAAAAGGUCGGUUGGAAGCUGUGGCUGUCCGAGUGACUAGGGGAUGGCGCAGCUUUAGCGGCACCGGCACCGGAAGUGGACGGGCCGCGCGGCGGCCAUGGCAAAGUGGUCUGAAGAAAACCGAAAUUUCUCAGUGACAUAUCCUAAAGUAUUACUGAGAAUAAACCUCAUUUUGUGGGAAAAUGAAGGAAGAUGUUCCAGUUUUAAAAGACCUGGAUCUACUGUUGAAAAUUCUGUUUCUGUCUGAUACACUUCAGGCCUCCAAAUGAUUGCUUGUUGCCGUCUAGUUGCUGCUCACCCAGACCAGUCUAUCUACUAAAGGUCUCUUUAUGAAUGAUGGAAAUAGAAGCAAAUGGAUAGUCAUAAUCAGAUAAGUGCUUUAAUAGUCUAAAUAUAUUUUUUGG
Molecule: long non-coding RNA, 586 nt
Organism: Lynx canadensis (Canada lynx)
Lineage: Eukaryota; Metazoa; Chordata; Mammalia; Carnivora; Felidae
Exons: 5
Source: RefSeq, a predicted model, not a curated record